Non-coding RNA from Salmo salar (Atlantic salmon), 4599 nucleotides. The record is from RefSeq and is a predicted model, not a curated record. NCBI's taxonomy places the organism in Eukaryota, Metazoa, Chordata, Actinopteri, Salmoniformes, Salmonidae.
GAGCUACAAUGGAUAAACUAACGGGCCACGGGAGGACCGCGCUUUGAUUUAUAAUCCGUAGAGAGAUACUAUCUCUUAUGCCAUUCAGGAGAGAGAAGUGAAAUAAUGGUUAAGGGAUCUCACAACCUCGGAAAUAAACCACCAAUUCGACAUGGAUCGUUCCAAAACAGAGGUUUGAGGUUUGAGCAUCGACAGCGGCUUUUAGAAACCGGCUGCCUCCGCCUGCUUCGAACGGGGAAUUUGGAAUGAGAAGCAUUUAUCGUUUUCUGUACAGACACAUGUCCUCUCUUCAUAGGUAAAUAAUCUGAUUUCAUUUCCUCGGUAAAACCUAUUCUAUAGGCUAGCCAUAUGCUUCUCAUCCUAUACCGGAACCCUUACUGCUGACUUCCACGCGGAUACGCAGCCCUCCAUUGGAUGGCAAAAUAACCAGGACAAAUUUCCUCGCAUUGAAAAGUGGAACCCAUACGAUACUCUGGCAGUAUGUACGAGGAGGAGUCGGUUGCUAUCUUUGGUUAUCUAGCUGUAUGAGUGUUACUCGGCCGUCAUAAAGCUAGCUAACCGAAUGUAGGAAUGUCCUCCAAACCUGCGACUCGGACAGGAAUAAAUGGUGUCUGGGAGUAAAGACACAAAAUAACAUAAUUGAUAUGCAAUUACAGGCCAAUACCUCAUUGCCUUUCCGGUAAGUUAUAACAAUUUUCCCUAAUCACUUAUUAUAAACAUCUGUUGAAACACUUCUGAAUUCCUCAAAACCUGAUACAACCCGAAAUUAUUUUAAUGCUUUUUCUUAUUUCAUUUAGAGAAUAUAUUCUCAAAAUAUAAGUAGGAUAAUCUUUAUAGCAUGCCUUUAAAUGAAAAGUCAACAUUUUCAACAAUGGAUUAAAAAUCAUGUUGUGAAUUGAAGUGUAUAUUUGUCCCACUUUUGUUUAGUAUGCUUGGAGCAAGAAUACUCUUUAUAUAUUUAUUUAUAUAAACACAUUUACAUUAUCACGCAAGGCAUCUAGAGUGAUUUUGCCGAAAACAUCUUCUAAAACGAAAAAUACUUCAUAAAAAGCCUUUAUUCUGGUCAGAGGAAUAAAUAACUUUAUCCAGUCAUAUGAGUGAACUGUAACAAUUGAUGUUCACGCAUGAAUAUGAAUAAAGCUUUGUCGCAUCAAAGUAUCCGCAGUUGAGCCUGUAUUCCUUAUAGUUCUCACUGCAUAAAUCAGGUUUACGCACACGCAAACACAUAUUGAAUUAAGGUUUAAUCAAAUGGAUUAAGAUUUGUAGCUCAUAUUGAUAUCAUUCUUGUCUCAGGUGGAAACGUUUUGAUUUUCCAGAAAAUGUCCGAUAUUAGCAUUUAUGACGUAUUUAGGCAUACUAUAGGCCAACGUCUAUGAAAAAGACUGUCCUGAUUAUGAUGACCUAUGUAGGCCUUACCUACACCUUGCACUGAAAUUCUGAAAAGCGUAGGCUAAUGAUAUAUUUCAGUCGAUAUUAAGUCAAGCGAUCCAUGCCAUUACAUAAACGCAUACUUUGAGUUGUGUUGUCUAGAAAGGAAGACCACUUAAGAUAUUCAUGGUUUUUGUAGAUUUUAAAUGCAUUAUACCUCCCAUGUGAGUCACAUAAUACAUUUACGCAUUGUGCGCACACCUAAUCGGCCCAAAUUAUUCAAGUGUCUCAAUUUGGACUUUCUGCCUCACGGUGCUAUAGCUGUCCCUCAAAAGGUCACUUCUAUAGCUUCUCUUGGAGAACCAAAUCCGGGGAUGCAUUUUCAUUCAACCAACAACUCCUCUCAGAGCCUGCAGUGGCGCUCAAUGGCUGGAGCGCGCUCCUGGCUAAUUGGUUUGAUUCAGUAAAGGAGGCUAUACGCUGGAUUUGUGAAACGUCCGAGCGAGCUUUUCCCACGACUGGCCGGAUCUCUCCAUUCUAGUGUGUCACCAGACAAUUUAGAAUUUCCACUGGUCAACACAGUGACGUAGGGCCUACAAGUCGCUACUCUGAUAAUCUCGUCCUUAACCAAAAACGCAUCUUCUUGACGUCUAUUGUGAGCUUUACAUUAUCCAAGUUUAGCCCGAUUUCUAAAUUCCUCCUCAGGUCUUUUAAUACUGAGAGUAUGCUAGUUGUUGAUGAUGGAAAUGAACAACUACUAUUAACUCACUUGAUUUGAACACUUUGUAUUCUAAUCAAUCUCAAUUUAUGUUUAAAAUAUCCAUCUAUUAUUAUUUAUUGUACCUUCACCUUUCUUCACUAACUGCAUUCUGAUUGUACCUCUACUACACUCAAAACAAAAGCCUUGUGUCCACCACCUCCAGCCUGCCUAUCUGAAUCUCCUCAUCAUUAACUGUAAUGCAGGCUCUGGUCCAUACAAGUCCCAACAAAGAAGAAUGGAGACAUUAUCUAAUUCAACCACACCUAUCUCACCACUCUGUUCUUCUCUAGGUCUAAUCCAUAUAAACGUGUCCUUUGCCUGUUGUAGAAAAACCCUUGGCAUGACUAUUCUAUAACCUGACAAUGAUCAAAUAAAUUGAUGCUGAAUGUUAGUGAUGAGAAUUCAAGCGUAUUGUUUUAAUGGAUACGUUUAGCUUUUUUGUUGUUGCACUAUUGUGUUGUAUUGUAUUUGGAAAUGUCUUUGUUAUUGUCAAAGGUUGAUCCAGUGCCCUUGUCACUGCAGUGGCUGCCUGAGAUACACCCACAAACUCUGCAGUAUGAACAACACAAACUGUCUACUAAAUGUGACUGCCAGCCAUUCACACCAGGUCUGGAUUGAGCAAGGGGAAAGUGGCACAGUCGUCACAAAAAAACUGAAAGCAGGAGGGGAAGAAAAAGGCCAACCCCCUUGUCCCUCUUCCCUUAAAUCUCCAUCACCGGAAGCCUUUGGUGCCAUCUGUGCCCCCGGAGAAAAGGACGGGCGAGAUGCCUCCACCCUGUGCCAACGGGGACAAAGGAGCUGCCAGUUAGAGCGGCCCCCCUCGCAGGCAGCCAGAGGACUCUGUGUGACUGACUGGGGCUGAGCUACGGAAGCCAUCUUGAUGGAGAGUCUUGCUGCUGCUCCUAAAAUGGCUGUGUUGGCAUGAGGUCCUGCAGAUGUUGACAACCUCCAGGGGAAGCCUCUUCAAUCAGCCCUGAGCCCUGGGACCUGAGCCCUGGGACCUGAGCCCUGAGCCCUGGGCCCUGAGCCCUGGGCCCUGAGCCCUGGGACCUGAGCCCUGAGCCCUGGGACCUGAGCCCUGAGCCCUGGGCCCUGAGCCCUGGGACCUGAGCCCUGAGCCCUGGGACCUGAGCCCUGAGCCCUGGGACCUGAGCCCUGGGCCCUGGGCCCUGGGACCUGAGCCCUGAGCCCUGGGCCCUGAGCCCUGGGCCCUGAGCCCUGGGACCUGAGCCCUGAGCCCUGGGACCUGAGCCCUGAGCCCUGGGACCUGAGCCCUGGGCCCUGAGCCCUGAGCCCUGGGCCCUGAGCCCUGGGACCUGAGCCCUGAGCCCUGGGACCUGAGCCCUGGGACCUGGGCCCUUCCUCAUUGGCAUCCUCUCCAGUCAAACACUGAGAAAUGAGGGCACUGAAGAAUCCCCCCUAAAGUUAACAGACAAUGUUUGGAGAUAUUUACUGUAAGGACAAUGAUUGGAGAUAUUUACUGUAAGGACAAUGUUUGGAGAUAUUUACUGUAAGGACAAUGUUUGGAGAUAUUUACUGUAAGGACAAUGUUUGGAGAUAUUUACUGUAAGGACAAUGUUUGGAGAUAUUUACUGUAAGGACAAUGUUUGGAGAUAUUUGAAGACAUUGUUUGCAGAAGUUGCGCACAGAUUAUCUGCUGAUAUAUUGCACUUGGGUAAUCAAUGUUCUCUUUUCCCCAGCUGAGAGUGUAUAGUUUCAACAUAACUUUUAACAUUACAGCAGAAUGUAAGACAAUGUGUGUAUGAUGUGAAAUCCAAAGGGAUGUGAUCAACAUGUGUUCAUAAUUUCAUUUAAGGACAGGUGUGGGUGCGUGUGCGUGUGUGUGUGUGUGUGUGUGUGUGUGUGUGUGUGUGUGGUUUGGUCCCUAUUGUACUCUAUAGAGAUCUCUGGAGUGUACUGGGCUUCAGAGAAGCACUACAGUGCCCUAAUGUGUGGGCUGUUUACAAGAGAAGCUCUCUGGAUGUCUACCCUCUGUCAUGUGCAAUUAGUUACUUUAUGAAUAGAACUGACUACUCUAUGCAAAUAAAUGUGAAUGACUCACCCUCUGGCUGUAUUGCAAAUGUUGUUUAAUGUUUGACUGUCACAGUGAAAAGAAAGACAUUGUUUGGUGAAGAUUCCAUCCAUUUACUGUAUAUCCAUCAAAUGCUGCAUUUUUCCUAUUACAAAUAUUAUCUGCAUGUGUUCAUAGUGAUCAGGGAAUGUUCAACAUGAAAUGUGUUGGAUACAGUAUUGAAGCAGUCAGAUUAAUAGCCGUCUCAUUGCCUGAUUACUACUAUUAUCCUUAUUCAGAGAGAUAGACAGUUUUGAACAUACCUGCAAUAAAGAAAGGGACACAUACUUGUACACAAACGUGUUACAAAACAUGUUUUUGUAAUUGAGUUCUGACUUGUCAUGACUUCUGUGCUGUUUGAAUUGAAUGUGUAUGCAGAAUAAAUAAUACAACAGAUGUC